This is a long non-coding RNA of Papaver somniferum (opium poppy), 528 nucleotides long. RefSeq lists it as uncharacterized. NCBI's taxonomy places the organism in Eukaryota, Viridiplantae, Streptophyta, Magnoliopsida, Ranunculales, Papaveraceae. The transcript is spliced from 2 exons. The record is from RefSeq and is a predicted model, not a curated record.
UGUUCUCUGGUGAUUAUCAAUCCUGGGGUUUCAUAACUUUCAUUAUUCAUCUUCUUCUCUUAACAUCGGAUCUCUCGUUCGAUGCAAAACUAGGAUUCAUUUUGCAUCACUCUUAACGCACCUAGACUAACAAUCAAACCCUAUUUCUUUUACCGAUUUCAAGGUUCUAGCGGACAACCCAUAACCCUUUUCUUCUACCGAUUUCAGAACUUUUCUUCUUCUGUUUAUCAUUCUCGUUACAAUCCCAGAGUAUCAACUUCAUCAGGUUUUGGAAAUCUGGUGAAUCUAUACCGCAAUAUACUGGUGUAGUUUGUGGAAGAAGAUCGAUUCUGGUGUUUCAUCAUAUUGAUUGUUCUAUAUGUUACCUUAUUCAGCCAUUUUUGAGGUAUUUGUUGUUUUUGCUCAAUGUCUCAACAAUUCAGGCCUAGAAGUUCAGAUAGGCUGAAUGGAUUUGUUCACGGUCUUAUGUAUGUAUUUGUUUGUGGAAUUACUCUUGGAUUUUUAUCAAUACGGAGUUGAUUGUCCCCA